GGAGGUGGGAGACAAGAAAAUAUGGCGAAAUAGAGUUCAGGAACGUAUGUGUUGAGCCAUGUGCAGGCGAAACUCUCCUGUGAAAAGCCGCGCGACUCUGAACGAAAAAAUCUCGUGACACCUUUGUGAGAUGAUGGGGACUUUUACAUGGGGAGUUUGAGUAACAUGAAGGGACACAGACGCUUACUCUUUCCGCUCUUCGUCACUCUUCUCUGAAGCCUGAAGAAGUCGCCUGCUGUUUUUCUGAACGGCAAACGACAGAACCCUCGGACGGCAGCUGGGUGGGUGUCUGACUUUCGGAGCUCCCGAGACGGUGGAACGGUGUGGUUCCAAAAUGUCCAUAUACGGAGCGAAUCUUGCGGGGAACGCUGUGUUUUGACAACUUCCCUGAUAAACGCCUCUCUUCUUAUUCGCGUAACACACAUCACGUCUCGUCGGUACUGACAGUUGGAGGAACCAGAGUGGCAUGGCUGUUCUGUGCUCCAAGUCCGUUUGACACCGAAAUGUUUCGCAUUCUGAAGGUGGAACGGAUCGCAGAAAAACGCGUGCAAGCUGUUGUUCCUCAAACUGUUGAUUUCGUGUGAAUCCGGUAGCAAGAACAGCAAGGAAGCUCCGACCCAGCAAGUCGAAGUCCUGGUCUCUGUCGAAUCGUUGGACAGAAAAGAGCUGUCUGUGUUAACGACAAUGGAAUUCACGGUCUCUUGAUCCUCGGAUUGAUCUAUUUCUAACAAUGAUGGCUUUGACGGCGCAGGUCUACCCACUGUUACGCAAUUCAGUCAUGUUGUUGCGUGUUUUUGCCAUCUGGGGAUUUGCCAAUCAGGGAAUUUACGCCUCUGUAGUUUCGACCGUGCUUGGAAACCCACGUGGAUUUGUGCCCGUCCAGCCUGAGAAAAUUCCAGUCUGU
RNAcentral lists this long non-coding RNA (904 nucleotides) under Toxoplasma gondii VEG. Lineage: Eukaryota; Apicomplexa; Conoidasida; Eucoccidiorida; Sarcocystidae. The record is from RNAcentral.